CCAGCCAUGCCGCGUGAUGUGAAGAAGCCUUCUUGAGUCUGUAAAGCUACUUUAGGCAGAUGAAGAACGACUCCAGUGGAUUAAUACGCAUGGCACGAUGACAUUAUCUGCAGAAAUAAGCACCGGCUAACUCUGUGCCAGCAGCCGCGGUAAUACAUAGGGGGCAAGCGUUAAUCGGAAUUACUGGGCGUAAAGCGAGCGCUAGGUGGCUUAAUAAGUCAGAUGUGAAAGCCCCGGGCUUAACCUGGGAACGGCAUCGUGAUACUGUUAGGCUAGAGUACGUGAGAGGAAAGUAGAAUUCCAGGUGUAGCGGUGAAAUGCGUAGAGAUCUGGAGGAAUACCGAUGGCGAAGGCAGCCUUCUGGCAUCAUACUGACGCUGAGGUUCGAAAGCGUGGGUAGCAAACAGGAUUAGAUACCCUGGUAGUCCACGCCGUAAACGAUGUCUACUAGUCGUUGGGUCCCUUGAGGACUUAGUGACGCAGCUAACGCAAUAAGUAGACCGCCUGGGGAGUACGGCCGCAAGGUUAAAACUCAAAUGAAUUGACGGGGGCCCGCACAAGCGGUGGAGCAUGGUGGUUUAAUUCGAUGCAACGCGAAGAACCUUACCUGGGUCUUGACAUAUCUAGAAUCCUGCAGAGAUGCGGGAGUGCCCUUCGGGGAAUUAGAAUACAGGGUGCUGCAUGGUUGUCGUCAGCUCGGUGUCCGGGAGAUGUUGGGGUUAUGUCCCCGCAACGGAGCGGCAGACCCUUUGUCCGUUAAGUUACCAAGCGGGUGUGGGGCGGGGAAG
This 788-nucleotide ribosomal RNA is filed under the name Moraxellaceae bacterium. RNAcentral's name for it is "bacterial SSU rRNA". It matches the Rfam family "Bacterial small subunit ribosomal RNA", at positions 388 to 1147 of the family's 1533-position model. The record is from RNAcentral. Lineage: Bacteria; Pseudomonadati; Pseudomonadota; Gammaproteobacteria; Moraxellales; Moraxellaceae.